Molecule: ribosomal RNA, 694 nt
Filed under: Bacillus pumilus
Lineage: Bacteria; Bacillati; Bacillota; Bacilli; Caryophanales; Bacillaceae
Description: bacterial SSU rRNA
Rfam family: Bacterial small subunit ribosomal RNA
Source: RNAcentral
UGGGCGUAGAGGGCUCGCAGGCGGUUUCUUAAGUCUGAUGUGAAAGCCCCCGGCUCAACCGGGGAGGGUCAUUGGAAACUGGGAAACUUGAGUGCAGAAGAGGAGAGUGGAAUUCCACGUGUAGCGGUGAAAUGCGUAGAGAUGUGGAGGAACACCAGUGGCGAAGGCGACUCUCUGGUCUGUAACUGACGCUGAGGAGCGAAAGCGUGGGGAGCGAACAGGAUUAGAUACCCUGGUAGUCCACGCCGUAAACGAUGAGUGCUAAGUGUUAGGGGGUUUCCGCCCCUUAGUGCUGCAGCUAACGCAUUAAGCACUCCGCCUGGGGAGUACGGUCGCAAGACUGAAACUCAAAGGAAUUGACGGGGGCCCGCACAAGCGGUGGAGCAUGUGGUUUAAUUCGAAGCAACGCGAAGAACCUUACCAGGUCUUGACAUCCUCUGACAACCCUAGAGAUAGGGCUUUCCCUUCGGGGACAGAGUGACAGGUGGUGCAUGGUUGUCGUCAGCUCGUGUCGUGAGAUGUUGGGUUAAGUCCCGCAACGAGCGCAACCCUUGAUCUUAGUUGCCAGCAUUCAGUUGGGCACUCUAAGGUGACUGCCGGUGACAAACCGGAGGAAGGUGGGGAUGACGUCAAAUCAUCAUGCCCCUUAUGACCUGGGCUACACACGUGCUACAAUGGACAGAACAAAGGGCUG